RNAcentral lists this unclassified non-coding RNA (329 nucleotides) under soil metagenome. RNAcentral describes it as "partial contains 5.8S ribosomal RNA, internal transcribed spacer 2, and large subunit ribosomal RNA". The stretch from base 1 to 120 matches the Rfam family "5.8S ribosomal RNA", at positions 35 to 154 of the family's 154-position model. The record is from RNAcentral.
GAUGAAGAACGUAGCGAAAUGCGAUAGGUAAUGUGAAUUGCAGAAUUCAGUGAAUCAUCGAAUCUUUGAACGCACAUUGCGCCCUCUGGUAUUCCGGGGGGCAUGCCUGUUCGAGCGUCAUUAUAACCACUCAAGCUCUCGCUUGGUAUUGGGGUUCGCGGUUUCGCGGCCCCUAAAAUCAGUGGCGGUGCCUGUCGGCUCUACGCGUAGUAAUACUUCUCGCGAUUGAGUUCGAUAGGUCUACUUGCCAGUAACCCCCAAUUUUUACAGGUUGACCUCGGAUCAGGUAGGGAUACCCGCUGAACUUAAGCAUAUCAAUAAGCGGAGGA